Molecule: long non-coding RNA, 826 nt
Filed under: Mus musculus (house mouse)
Lineage: Eukaryota; Metazoa; Chordata; Mammalia; Rodentia; Muridae
Description: predicted gene, 49519
Source: RNAcentral
ACUAUUUUUUAUCUGGAAAAUUCAAACUUUCCAGGCUUUAGGGCAGGAUAAAAUGGCUCUGAGCAUGUCAGCGUCUCAAGAGUACAUUAUUUUCUUAUUGGAUUGCAUUAACUUUACAGAUGAAAAUUUGAAGGAGAAUUAGAAGGCUUAGAGAUGGAAAAUUCGGAGAAGAAAAGAAUUAUGUCUUCAGAUUUCUGGAGGGGCUAGCUGGUGACUACGAGUCCAGAGAACAUUCACCACGACAUUCAUUAGAAGGGAGGAGUGAAAGGUGUCCACCAGAGCAUCUUCUGAUUCUCCUCAGAGCUCUGUGUGUGAGUUAUAUAAGUCCUCAGGAGCCUGCAGGCCUGGAGCAAAGUCAUGCUACAGGAAGAGAACUGCUGACAAUAGCAUCCUGGUACCCCAGGGACCUGAGAGAGACUGCCCAAGACACACUGCUCCAAGGCUGGUGGAAGCUGGAAGUGAACAAGAAAGGUAACGACUGUGAUAGGACAAGAGGAACCACAGACUGCAAGGGGGACAGGAAGUGCACAGAGCCACCACAAGGUAAUCCUGCAAGCCACUAAGGGAGAUGCCCACAUCCAUGGAGAGUCACCAUGUGAGUCCUGCAGAGGAAGGGACUGUUAUCAGCUGUGCUAGGUGCUGUCUCAGUGUACCCAGGGCAAGCAGGCCAGGUGUCCCAAUGUUUUAAGAUCCUCGUGACUUUCACCAUUGAGCGUUUACUCUUAACACGGCCCACUUACCUUUAAACACUUGCUACAUGUCAGGUAUUAUGGGAUACAAGCCAGGAGGAGCAGUGGUGCAUGCCUGUAAGCUCCAGCAUUUGGAA